This 1485-nucleotide long non-coding RNA is filed under the name Bemisia tabaci. RNAcentral's name for it is "lncRNA ENSSSA1UGG004561". Lineage: Eukaryota; Metazoa; Arthropoda; Insecta; Hemiptera; Aleyrodidae. The record is from RNAcentral.
UUGAAAAUUUAGAAGGUCUGAGAGCUUACAGAAUGGAAACGCAUUCGACAAAUAAUUGAUCAUAAGUUUUUUCUCUUCUGUUUCAGAUUGCAAAGUAGUUAAACGGUUCAAAUGUUGUGUUUUCUGUGAUAGUUUACGUACCUGUUUUACAAAGUCGAUUAUUUUUGUUGGGUUUUCCUGAGCUCCAAGGAUUGCAGCCAUGAAAACAUUCACUAAGGUGUGAUGGGGCAAAUACAAUAAAGAUCCAAGAUACAAAAAAUUGAAUGAUUCUGUGAAGCAAAAUGUGUGAAAUGAAAUAAGAAAGAUAAAAAUGUAAGCCUGAAAAUUGAUACCCAAUGCAGCUACAAGUAAAUAUUCCAGUGCCAUCAAGAGGAAACUAUCAACAUGUGAAUGAAGUCCACUCUCUUCAUGAACUUAAGUUUCUCGUAUGUGCAGCUCCUUCAGUGUUUCAGCGUUUCAGCCGCCGACCGUAGCCCAGCGCGGUCGGACCCGUUCCGCGACUUACCAACAGGGUAAGAGGCUCAGCUAAUAUGUUCUUCUGACCUAAGACUGAUUGCGAGCACUUUACGGAAACGUAAGUUUUAGUUGAUAACGUCAAAUUUAUGUGCUAAGAAAGACUCAUCAGCUAAUGAUUUACUGAGAACACGUCUCCCUCUUGAGGAGGGAUACCAUAAAGUUUCAUAACAGAAACAUUACCCAAAACGUCAGUGCCUCAUAUCUCAUUGGGUUUUCCCUAUCACAUUCUUCCGUUGAUGUUCUUAAUUGAUUUCCUUAAAGAUGUUUCAUUUUUUAGCUUUAGCGAAGUGUCGCUCAAACCUUCCCUCGUAGGGUGGCUAUAUUGAUCUCGCUUCUGGAAAGAAGUCAUAAAUUCGGCUCUGUCUCAACAUCUGAAGAGCGUCUCAAUAGACGAUUUUAGUGUGACGUCACAUCUCGUUAUAAUAUCGAUACCUCGAAAGUCGGAACGUGCCCCAACAAACGAACAUGGAGGAAUCUGCGGGAUAUAGGCAGGGGGGGUAGGGGUAUUCGCUCGAUGACUGUGUAUGAUAUUACGAGUUUAUUUUACAAUCAAUUCUUGUGAUCGUGAUCUCAAACAUUUUGGUAAAUGAGUAGCUUUCAUAAUUUUGAAGUCCCAUGGAUUAAUUGUUUGGUUUCGGGCUAGUUUUGGCAUUAUUUCGUCAUUUGGACAUUUUGGAGGUUAUGUUUGUUUGUUGGGGCACAUUUCGACUUUCGAGAUAUCGAACCACCAAUAUCGCUCCGUGACGUCACCACUAAAAUCGUCUAUACGUUUAGCAUAUCAGAAAUGUCUGGAUUUAGCUCGUGAAGGAGAUACGAGCGUUUAUCAUUUUAGUUAGUCUUUGUUAACAUAGCUCAAUCCAAUUUUCGAAAAAGAUUAAAUCGACCGAUUGCUCUCAAAGGAUAUAAAAACCAACGUUGGUCAUUAUUUAAAACAAACACCGGUCCGAGGCAAGUUUCAAUAGUAUUUUU